AGUGACAUCCAGCUUCUCUGGGCUUCCAACCGCAACAGCAGGGAACAUGCGCCCGUGUGGGGGAGCUCUGUGGGAAAGUUUCCUGCGAGAUACAACCACGCACAAACUGGUUGUAAAUACCGCAGAGAGAUAGUGAUCACAGUCCAGUGGAGGGUCAAGGGCAGGACACCAACCUCCUGGCUUUCUGCUCCAGCCUCUCCAGUCUCCAACCCCCGAGAGCCUUCACCUUUGUCAGAACAUGGACGUGGAGCUCCUCCAGUGACACAUGCAUACAUGCGUGCAGAAAGAGAAUCUGCCACCAUGAGCUGAUCAGAGGGCACUCACUUACGACCAUAAAUGUUCAUCAUUCCCUCUUCUUGCAUCCUGACCUUCAGCUGAACUCGCCUCACAGCUCCGAGAGCACUGAGACAGAGAAGCAAGAUGUCAAAGAUGUGGUGAAGAAGCAGCAGGUUUGACACAUCCCUCGCUGGACUGUAGUACUUUUCUAAUGUCUUGAACUUGCACCUUUUGGUCUCGUUCUUGAGCAAAAUACUGGAAAUGUGUUCAAGUAUUUGAGAUAAUUUGUCUAUAAUGUAUAGGUCAAGGCUUAAGAUGAUGUUCCUUUUUGCAGCAAGAGUCCACAUCAUGUUUAGGACAGCUUAUCUAAGUCCUGGAGCAACUAAAAAUAUUUGUAGGACUUUCCAGAUGAGAGGUUCUGCUUUUUGCACAUAGUAAAAAAUACAAUAUUUUAUUCAUGCUGCAAGAUGUUCAUGCGACAACACGUUGUUUUCAUUGUCAAAGGUCUUCUUCAGAUAUCUCACUGAAUAAAUAAAAUCUAUAUGUGUAUAUAUUUUUUCACAGUGAGUGGAAGUUAGCAGUCGUGUCUGGAUAAUGUCUUGUGACGUCUCAGUGCGUUUCAGUUCAAUGGGACCAUGGAAAAAGAUUGAA
Toxotes jaculatrix (banded archerfish) is the source of this 927-nucleotide long non-coding RNA. RefSeq lists it as uncharacterized. The transcript has 3 exons. Lineage: Eukaryota; Metazoa; Chordata; Actinopteri; Toxotidae. The record is from RefSeq and is a predicted model, not a curated record.